GACGAACGCUGGCGGCGUGCUUAACACAUGCAAGUCGAGCGGUAAGGCCCUUUCGGGGGUACACGAGCGGCGAACGGGUGAGUAACACGUGGGUGACCUGCCCUCAGCUCUGGGAUAAGCCUGGGAAACCGGGUCUAAUACUGGAUAUGACUCCAUGACGCAUGUUGUGGGGUGGAAAGCCUUGUGCGGCUGAGGAUGGGCCCGCGGCCCAUCAGCUUGUUGGUGGGGUGANGGCCUACCAAGGCGACGACGGGUAGCCGGCCUGAGAGGGCGACCGGCCACACUGGGACUGAGACACGGCCCAGACUCCUACGGGAGGCAGCAAGUGGGGAAUCUUGCGCAAUGGGCGAAAGCCUGACGCAGCGACGCCGCGUGAGGGAUGACGGCCU
Molecule: ribosomal RNA, 389 nt
Filed under: uncultured bacterium
Lineage: Bacteria
Description: bacterial SSU rRNA
Rfam family: Bacterial small subunit ribosomal RNA
Source: RNAcentral